GAGAGCCGAGGCCAGAAGGCCGAGACCAGAGAGCGCCGACCAGAAAGGCAACCCCGCCGAGCCCAUGCCUUAGCCAAAUAUCCAAUCUCCGCCCAACCCUCCAAAGGAUCUGACAACUAAAUAUAUGACUCCACUUCAAUCUGCCACCAUUCCCAAGUCAUUAAGGCACAAGAUCUCCGCAGGCAUUCGGCACACCCUAUCAUUAAUGCAUGAGACUCCCUUAAGUCUCCGAUGCACUCAGGCAUUUAAUGAACACGACCCAAGACGAUCUCCGGAUCACUGAACCAUCAGAGCGUAUGGCUCUACCUGGCCGCCGGUUCAUUCGGUAAUAAAGGCACUUACCAUCCACAGACCCCAGGCCCGCUACGGCCGGCGGUUCAACCACUCCAACAGGUCCGAUCGACCGUGACAACUCCCUGGUUCCGGUCUGAUUCGGCCCCGUUCUCCACUACGCCAUAAAUGGGCCAAAUCGUGCCCAAUUAUGACGGACAGGGAUAAAUCCCCCGGUUACCUCCCAGAUAACGUAAUCCCCUCCUAUAAAAGGGAACCUGGGAGAACCAAAGAAGGGGGGAAAAACAAAAACGGAAACAGAUCCCCGGGAUUGAACCCGCCGGGAAGCACAGACGCAAUUGAGGACAUCAUCCUCUUCGUCUUCUUUAUCUUAUCCAAAUGUUCUUGCUGUCUUCUCCAGAUACUCUCCCCCCCGCUCUCUCCACAUAUUUGCCCCCUCUGACUUAGGCAUCGGAGGGCCGGCGCCGGGGAGCCCGGCCACCGGCUUUUUUGCAGGACAGGACAGGACUGGACGCACUCCCCUCCUCGGACGCUCCCACGCCCCCCGGUGGAGGACGCAGCCGGCCGGCGCACCGCCGUCCGCCCCCUGUAGCAGCGGAGCUCCUCCUUCUCCGGCUUCGCGGCGGCCCCCGGGUCCAAUUUCCAGCAACAAAU
Molecule: long non-coding RNA, 945 nt
Filed under: Phoenix dactylifera (date palm)
Lineage: Eukaryota; Viridiplantae; Streptophyta; Magnoliopsida; Arecales; Arecaceae
Description: long non-coding RNA (PDAC_LNC014788)
Source: RNAcentral